Molecule: long non-coding RNA, 782 nt
Organism: Fundulus heteroclitus (mummichog)
Lineage: Eukaryota; Metazoa; Chordata; Actinopteri; Cyprinodontiformes; Fundulidae
Exons: 4
Source: RefSeq, a predicted model, not a curated record
AGGGAGCUGAAAUUGUAAAGUCAAGAGGGUUGGACGGGCAAAUGCUCCUCAUCGGAGUUAAUUGCCAACCUUCUUACGGAGCUGGAGCCAGGAGGAGGGCGUCAGUUCGUUAACGCUCAUGCGUUGGUACAGACCCUCAAAACCAAGUCUCAACAGUUCAAGCUCCGGAAACCACGUCUGAGACCCCUCCGAGUUCCCGUUCUGGACACCAGAGUAAACCUCAGACCCACGCUCUACGGAGGCCCUCCUUCCUGCGCUCGCCUGCCUGUCCACCCUCACACCACUACCUCUGGAGAGAACCUACCAGCUCUGCACCUCCCAUUAACAUCACUGGACUACACCCCCUCAAGCUCAAGCCUCACCGUCAUCCCAAAAACUAAGGUUCAUGUUUUCCGACCAUCUACACGGAGCAGAUUAUUAAAGGGAAAUGCAAAGAAACACCCUCAUUGCUCGAGCCAGAACUGAACACACAUUGCCAUCCAGUUGAAUCAACUCCUACAAGCAGGGUAACAAGAAGAGGACUGACGAAGCUGGGGAAGAUGAAGCCAGAGAACUAUGAUUUUGUAUCCUGAUAUGGAGGAGAGAUGCCUGAGAAUUCCCAAGCCGACCACUCAUACGCAAUUAGAUUCAGGUCUAUCAUGUGUUCUAAAUGGCCUGAAGGCUUUCUUUACAUUGUAUUCUUGACAUACUGACUCUUUUUAUAUUAUAUUACUGUGAUUUUUAACUGCCCCGUUUCUCUGACUUACAUGGUCCUGUUUGAUUGUAUGAGUUAUGACAUUUAC